Mauremys reevesii (Reeves's turtle) is the source of this 703-nucleotide long non-coding RNA. RefSeq lists it as uncharacterized. Lineage: Eukaryota; Metazoa; Chordata; Testudines; Geoemydidae. The transcript has 6 exons. The record is from RefSeq and is a predicted model, not a curated record.
AGUUUAUUAGUGCUGUCUUUUAUGCAUGGCCUUGAUUAAUUUUCUACAAGAUCUAACAUGGAGCAGUUUUCCAGCUACUUCAGCCUGUAAUAAGACCCAGUAGAACCUUGGAGUCAUAUGGCUGAAUGGAGGAGAGGGAAUGUCUGAGGGGCUGGCUUCCCCAAUGAAGUCUGCCUGGGGAAGACAAGAGAGAGUGGAGUUUCUACACACAAGUCCCUUCUGUCUCCUCUUCAGCCAGUUGGCCUUGGGGAAACAGCCCUCUGUACAAAUACUAUUUAUGUUGAAUGGAGACAUGUGAAAGAAAAGAAAGGACAAAGUCUACCAAAAAGAAAGAUUAAAAAGAGGUGCACCCCAACAGUCCCCAAGUCCCUCUGAAGCAUUCCCAUGUGAUAUUCAGCCCCUGACACUGGCUACUCAUCGAAAUCUCAGAUCCUCUGCUCCCAAAGGAACAAGUUUCACUUACCAGAAUGAAGAGGCAACGAGAAGCAAGUUUUGCGUGCUCAGGAAUGGUAGAAAACACUGACAAAAUCAAGCAACCAAAUACAAGAAGAAAACUGAAAAAGAAAAGAAUAUUAAAGAAUUAAGAACACUGAAUAAUGAGAAAAUGAAGAGUCAGUGUUUGCCAACUGACUGUGUUCCAGGAUUAGCUUAUUGUAUUUGGCCUACAGAGGUAAAGCAGUAAAGUGGCUAAAGCAGCAGAGCC